AACGAACGCUGGCGGCAUGCCUAACACAUGCAAGUCGAACGAGACCUUCGGGUCUAGUGGCGCACGGGUGCGUAACGCGUGGGAACCUGCCCUUAGGUUCGGAAUCACUCCCCGAAAGGGGUGCUAAUACCGGUUAAUGUCUUCGGACCAAAGAUUUAUCGCCUUUGGAUGGGCCCGCGUUGGAUUAGCUAGUUGGUAGGGUAAAAGCCUGCCAAGGCGACGAUCCAUAGCUGGUCUGAGAGGAGGAUCAGCCACACUGGGACUGAGACACGGCCCAGACUCCUACGGGAGGCAGCAGUGGGGAAUAUUGGACGAUGGGCGAAAGCCUGAUCCAGCAGUGCCGCGUGAGUGAUGAAGGCCUUAGGGUUGUAAAGCUCUUUUAGCCGGGAUGAUAAUGACAGUACCGGGAGAAUAAGCACCGGCUAACUCCGUG
Molecule: ribosomal RNA, 433 nt
Filed under: uncultured bacterium
Lineage: Bacteria
Description: partial 16S ribosomal RNA
Rfam family: Bacterial small subunit ribosomal RNA
Source: RNAcentral